ACACGACUCUCGUCAAUGGAUAUCUCAGCUCUCGCAUCGAUGAAGAGCGCAGCGAAAUGCAAUACAUGGUGUAAAUUGCAGAAUCCCGCGAACCAUCGAGUCUUAGAAUGCAAGUUGCGCCCAAGGCCAAUCUGUCGAGGGCACGUCCGCCUAGGCGUCAAGC
This 163-nucleotide ribosomal RNA is filed under the name Phalaenopsis kunstleri. RNAcentral's name for it is "5.8S ribosomal RNA". It matches the Rfam family "5.8S ribosomal RNA". From Rfam's summary of the family: 5.8S ribosomal RNA (5.8S rRNA) is a component of the large subunit of the eukaryotic ribosome. It is transcribed by RNA polymerase I as part of the 45S precursor that also contains 18S and 28S rRNA. Functionally, it is thought that 5.8S rRNA may be involved in ribosome translocation. Lineage: Eukaryota; Viridiplantae; Streptophyta; Magnoliopsida; Asparagales; Orchidaceae. The record is from RNAcentral.